AGCGAGGCCUGGGAGCCUGCGCCCCUCUCUAAUAAAGAGCUACCCACAACGCAGCUGUACGAGGGGACGCAGCCGGCGACGUGAGGGAGCUGGUGCUGCCUGGGCUGGGCAGGAUGGCAGCAGGGUGGUCAGGCUGUGGAGCAGCUCUUCCUUCUGCUCCCUUUAGACCAACCUGAAAAACAUCCCCAGAUGAAAAACACUACUCCGUCCUAGUCAGCAGCUGUCCUGCUUGAAGAUGAAUUUCCAGCUCAAAAAUCAAACCAAAAUGAUGAUGACAGAAAAACACCAAUUGGCCUUAAGCAACUAUCCACUUGUAUCCAGAAAUCUGGACCCGUGGUUGAUAAACGGAAGCGUGGCUGUGCAAUGCCUUACCUGCAGCCAUUAGGGACAGAAAUCUGGCUUGGCUCUCCCCAGCUGCCCAGAGCCUUCGGGGCAAUGCCAAGAAAAUGACCUGCUCCUGUCACAGCCCCUGGCACUCGGGCACACAUUUUUAUCUCCAGUAUAAAGUGCAGCAAAAGACUGUUCUGAAUUUCUUCAUGUAGUGAAUGAGCUGCUGAAAUAAUACUGGCUGGCAAGCCAUUAUGUAUUUUUUAUUACUAAGAUAGUAAAAUAUUGAAAUGACUUCUGACAGAAAGAGAAGAGCAAAGGAAAACACCCAGGAGAAAUUAUUUUAUCUCAGAGGUUUUAAUUGAAUGGUGUAAAACAUUUUUAUGGUAAAAGAAAGAUGAUUUAUUUUGCUGUUAUGAUCAUCUAUGCUAUAAAAGAGUGUCUCCUUUGAAAAGCUUACACACUCCUGUGUUUACCUGCUGUCAUGUAUUUGGGGGUUUCUGCUGCAUAGAUGAUUCUCAAGGAUAGGGUUUUUUUCCCUCUCCACCUUUUUUUUUUUGUUCCUUACCACUGCCUAAAAUCUUGUUUGUUUAUGUGAUUGACUCUGCAAGGGUUUUGCAAUCCUCUGAGAGAGCAGGGGAAGGUGGCCAUGAGCCCGGCACGCUCAUUAGCAAACCUGAGCCUGACCUUUUCCAGGGGCUGAGCCGGAGCCCCGUGCACAGCGUGGGACCAUGCUGCUGUCCCCAGGAGCCAGUCCCCUCCUUUUCUCCAUGGCAGAGAUGAGACCCCUAAGAAAGACAUUCACUCAGGGCUGGUUUUUGUAACGUUCAGCAAAUUUCCUAGUGAAUGGGAUUUGACAUCUGGUAACAGUUCGUUACACGAUUUGAUGGUUUCCUGGAGAAUCCUAGAGAUGCUGUCAUUUAGCAAAUGAUUCUUGCAAAAGAGCCAGUUAGCCCUGUUUUUAUUCCCUCUGAAUGGCUGGAAAGCAGAUUUCAUUUUUAAUUUCAGACUGGUUGGUCCUUCAUUCCAGCCUCUCGUGCACACUGUGCCCAGGGAGGGACCUUGGUGCCACGCGAAGGCUAUGACACUGAGCUCAGGGGAGCAGCUGGAGCAAGAAGGUCCCGUUUGCUGCUGAUGUGUGUUGGAGGGUCUAGGGUGGGAGCUGCACUGGGUCAUGGGAAGCGGAGAGAUUUGCUGAAAGAAGGCAAAAAGCAGCAGUACCCUGAGAAACGUGGAGGUCUGUAUUUUAUCUCUGGUUGUCAGAGGAGAGUUUCCCUCCUCAGCGCUCAGUGAGGGUGUGGGGUGUCAUGGCACAGGUCUGUGAGGAUUACCCAAAAGUAAACACAGUCCAAGAGAAAUUCAAAAGUCAGCAAAUGCUGCUGAUGUGCCCUAUGUCAAGGGGAUUCAACCACCAAGAUGGAUCAAGGUGGACACAUGCGCAAAGCCCCUCAUUUUGAGGGGCUGGAUGGGAGUAUGUUGGGAUUGAUGAUGUUGAUGGCAGGUCCCAUCUCCUCUCCCCGUCUGGUGAGCAGCAAUUUGGAGCUGCAACUUUUCCAUGCUGGCUCAGAACUGAUGGGGAGAAAAGGGGCAGGCAGGCAGCACUCAGUCCCACCUGGCUGCUGCUAGGGACCCAUGGGUGGGCCAGUGGGUGCCCUUUGCCCAGCAUCCAUCCCUGGGAGCCGUGCUGAGCUGCCUCUGUUCUGGGGCUCUGGCAGCACUCACUUCGCUGACACUUUUAAAGGGGGCAGCUGUUCUCCUCUUGCUGAAGCAGCCUCCUAUUGCUAAGGCAAGAUGAUUGCAUUUCAUACCUUCCCAGCUCUAAUUUGCACUUCUUUGGGGAAGAUGGUAGGACAAGUUAUAUCAGAGCAGCUGCUGUCUCACUAGGUUUUAAAGGAAAAUGAAACAAAACACUCUGUAUUUCUUUUAAGUUGUUUUAGUGCUUACAAAGUGUGCCUGGCUGACCUCUCGGAAGGCUGAACAUCUGUGCCAGCAGAAAUGGGGAUGUUCUAAACCACUGAGAGGCAGGUUUUUGGGGUCCUCCUUCCUGCUGUUCUGCUAUAUGCCCCCAAAUAGGGGACUGCAAUAGCACUGCAUGUUCACUUAGUGCCUACCUGGUACCCCAAAGUACCUGGUGCUGCCUCCUGAAACAGCACAGCUCCUCCCAGGUGCGAGCCAGUGGAUUGAAGCAUUUUUUUUUCUUAAUUACUUUUUCUGAACAGGCUCCCUGUAGAGGUGACUGUCCCUCCCUGAGGGGACAGCCUGGUCCCCAUGACCAGGUCAGGGCUGGCCCAUCUGCUUGUAUGUCAUCAGCUGAAAAGCUGCUUCAAUCUUAUCAUCUUGCCUGAAGUGCAAAUACGGCUGCCACGGCUGCUUUUCUUAGCAGCCUGGUAAGGGCGAGUACCUCCAGGGCUGAAGAAAAAAGAAUCCAGUGGUGAGAUUAUACAGAGAAAUGUGGGCUGACUUUUAAAGAAUAUGUACGCUACAGAGCAAGUGAAACCAUAGGCAUUGUUUUGAGUAAUUUCUGAAGAUUUUUUUAAAAACUAUUUUUUUAUUUUCCAGUCUGCUAGAGCAGACUGCUGACACACUGGAAGGAAACCGUGGGGUGCAUAUGUGAUAAGGAUUCCCUCGCUGUAUUUCUAUUGUUUUUUGUAUUAAACACUGACAUUAA
Molecule: long non-coding RNA, 2995 nt
Organism: Falco peregrinus (peregrine falcon)
Lineage: Eukaryota; Metazoa; Chordata; Aves; Falconiformes; Falconidae
Exons: 3
Source: RefSeq, a predicted model, not a curated record